Molecule: unclassified non-coding RNA, 249 nt
Filed under: Hevea brasiliensis (rubber tree)
Lineage: Eukaryota; Viridiplantae; Streptophyta; Magnoliopsida; Malpighiales; Euphorbiaceae
Source: RNAcentral
UCAUCGAAUAAAAUCGAAUAAAAUUAUAAUCAAAUAAAAUCGAAUAUAAUCAUCAUCAAAUAAAAUCAAAAAUAACCAUCAUCAAUUAAUAUUAAAUAAAAUUAUCAUCAAAUAAAAUUCAAAAAAAUCAUCAUCAAAUAAAACCAAAUAAAAUCCUCAUUAAAUAAAAAUAAAAAAAAUCAUCAUCUAAUAAAAUCGCAUAAAAUCAUCAUCAAAUAAAAUCGAAUAAAAUCAUCAUCAAAUAAAAAU